This 771-nucleotide ribosomal RNA is filed under the name uncultured bacterium. Its description in RNAcentral is "bacterial SSU rRNA". It matches the Rfam family "Bacterial small subunit ribosomal RNA", at positions 570 to 1339 of the family's 1533-position model. The record is from RNAcentral.
UGUAGGUGGCUCAUUAAGUCACAUGUGAAAUCCCCGGGCUUAACCUGGGAACUGCAUGUGAUACUGGUGGUGCUAGAAUAUGUGAGAGGGAAGUAGAAUUCCAGGUGUAGCGGUGAAAUGCGUAGAGAUCUGGAGGAAUACCGAUGGCGAAGGCAGCUUCCUGGCAUAAUAUUGACACUGAGAUUCGAAAGCGUGGGUAGCAAACAGGAUUAGAUACCCUGGUAGUCCACGCCGUAAACGAUGUCUACUAGCCGUUGGGGUCCUUGAGACUUUAGUGGCGCAGUUAACGCGAUAAGUAGACCGCCUGGGGAGUACGGCCGCAAGGUUAAAACUCAAAUGAAUUGACGGGGGCCCGCACAAGCGGUGGAGCAUGUGGUUUAAUUCGAUGCAACGCGAAGAACCUUACCUGGUCUUGACAUAGUGAGAAUCUUUCAGAGAUGAGAGAGUGCCUUCGGGAAUUCACAUACAGGUGCUGCAUGGCUGUCGUCAGCUCGUGUCGUGAGAUGUUGGGUUAAGUCCCGCAACGAGCGCAACCCUUUUCCUUAUUUGCCAGCGGGUUAAGCCGGGAACUUUAAGGAUACUGCCAGUGACAAACUGGAGGAAGGCGGGGACGACGUCAAGUCAUCAUGGCCCUUACGACCAGGGCUACACACGUGCUACAAUGGUAGGUACAGAGGGUUGCUACACAGCGAUGUGAUGCUAAUCUCAAAAAGCCUAUCGUAGUCCGGAUUGGAGUCUGCAACUCGACUCCAUGAAGUCGGAAUCGCUAGU